Gekko japonicus is the source of this 463-nucleotide long non-coding RNA. RefSeq lists it as uncharacterized. The record is from RefSeq and is a predicted model, not a curated record. The transcript is spliced from 3 exons. Lineage: Eukaryota; Metazoa; Chordata; Lepidosauria; Squamata; Gekkonidae.
UUCAGACUCAGCAAGAAAGACGGCUUCAGACUCGGCAAGAAAGAUGGGCUAUAAAUGUAUGCUGAGAAGUACAGGAGCAGGAAAAAAGCAGUAGCAAAAUGCCUGUGUAAUGGAGCAAGAGCUUGUAAACCGAAGGACACUUGCCAGAAUGAAUUUACACAAUGGUUUUACUGUCACCGUGCAGCACACACCUGUGGACUCUGUGGUUGUGAAAACAACUCUGAAUAUUACUGAGGACUUCUCCCAUGAGGAAUAUGAACCGACUGACAUGUAGCCUGAACUCACACUGAACCCACCAAAAGGCCAGGACACAUGGCUAAUCGCUACAAGUUUAAGCAUCUGAGAGUGACUGGGGGUCACUCUCCGGGGAGAGUGAAAACGGUUGGCGAGAAAACGGUUGGAAUGGCUAUGCUAACAUAUCCUAGCUCUCUCUUCCCACAUGUAUAGGGUUGCCAAAUGUCCC